UACGAAGGGGGCUAGCGUUGUUCGGAUUUACUGGGCGUAAAGCGCACGUAGGCGGAUCGUUAAGUCGGGGGUGAAAUCCUGGAACUCAACUCCAGAACUGCCUUCGAUACUGGCGAUCUUGAGUCCGGAAGAGGUGAGUGGAACUCCUAGUGUAGAGGUGGAAUUCGUAGAUAUUAGGAAGAACACCAGUGGCGAAGGCGGCUCACUGGUCCGGUACUGACGCUGAGGUGCGAAAGCGUGGGGAGCAAACAGG
RNAcentral lists this ribosomal RNA (253 nucleotides) under uncultured bacterium. RNAcentral's name for it is "partial 16S ribosomal RNA". It matches the Rfam family "Bacterial small subunit ribosomal RNA", at positions 524 to 776 of the family's 1533-position model. The record is from RNAcentral.